RNAcentral lists this long non-coding RNA (303 nucleotides) under Elaeis guineensis (African oil palm). RNAcentral's name for it is "long non-coding RNA (EGUI_LNC009553)". Lineage: Eukaryota; Viridiplantae; Streptophyta; Magnoliopsida; Arecales; Arecaceae. The record is from RNAcentral.
UCAUCGUGUAGAGCAGAUCCCUGCCUAGCCUCAGUGUCUCCAAGAGUGAUGCCUUGGAGAGAUCAAUUUUCUUUGAUGAAGAAGAUGGUGGGUUGACAUCGGGAGUCUGGGACUUUGACCAUUGCUCUGUUGACUGAGUUGACUUCAUCGAUAUCAGAGGAGGUGCUGGAGAAGAUACCUGUCUUGGGCACGCAGACUCUUUUGGAGGUGGACGGGCCACCUUGGUAGGUCAUCGGAUUAAUUUCAUCGGUGGUACAAUAGAGAUCGAAGUAGCAUUUACAUCUAUCAAUAUUGCCCCAGGUA